RNAcentral lists this transfer RNA (73 nucleotides) under Camelus bactrianus (Bactrian camel). It matches the Rfam family "tRNA". Rfam says of the family: Transfer RNA (tRNA) molecules are approximately 80 nucleotides in length. Their secondary structure includes four short double-helical elements and three loops (D, anti-codon, and T loops). Further hydrogen bonds mediate the characteristic L-shaped molecular structure. tRNAs have two regions of fundamental functional importance: the anti-codon, which is responsible for specific mRNA codon recognition, and the 3' end, to which the tRNAs corresponding amino acid is attached (by aminoacyl-tRNA synthetases). tRNAs cope with the degeneracy of the genetic code in two manners: having more than one tRNA (with a specific anti-codon) for a particular amino acid; and 'wobble' base-pairing, i.e. permitting non-standard base-pairing at the 3rd anti-codon position. RNAcentral also lists the same sequence under 2 other names. The record is from Rfam by way of RNAcentral. Lineage: Eukaryota; Metazoa; Chordata; Mammalia; Artiodactyla; Camelidae.
AGGGGAAUAACUCAGUGGUAGAGUGUAUUCUUGGCAUUCAAAACGGUCCUGGGUUCAAUCCCUAGUACCUCCA